Non-coding RNA from Mauremys mutica (yellowpond turtle), 510 nucleotides. The record is from the annotation of a RefSeq genome assembly. Lineage: Eukaryota; Metazoa; Chordata; Testudines; Geoemydidae.
AUGUGUCUUAUAAAGCGGACGAGAUGCAAAUCCAGCGCCUGGGCGCGCUAUAGAAACCCCGUUAUCUCCGGGACCCCGCCGUUGGGGAGGGACAAGUCCGUGCAGAUCCCACCAGAAACCCCCAGCGUCAGCAACAUGAGUCUGUGGCUGAGCCUCGCUUUCUUCCUAGCGGCCCUUCCAGGUGCCCGGUCCCAGGUCCAGCUGGUGGAGUCCGGAGGGGGGAUUCAAACCCCCGGGGGAUCUCUCCGCCUCGCCUGCCAAGCCUCCGGAUUCACCUUCGGCAGCUACUGGAUGCGCUGGGUCCGCCAGGCUCCGGGGAAAGGACUGGAGUGGGUCGCAGAGAUCCGCAAUCCUGCUUAUAGCUCAGCAGCAUAUUACAGUGAUGCGGUUAAAGGGCGAUUCACCAUCUCCAGGGACGAGUCCCGCAGCUCGGUGUAUCUGCAGAUGAACAGCCUGAGAGCGGAGGACACCGCCCGGUAUUACUGUGCCAGAAGAGACACAGCGAUAUGA